GGGUCUGGCUUUGGAUGCUGGUUCGGUACUUGACUUCUACAACCUGCGCACGGAAACAACCGUACGCUGAGUAUGCAUAUACUCAGUGGUAUCACUAUAAUUCAAUUAUCACUACUAAUAAACAAUUCAACCUUUUUAUAUUAUCAAUUAAUUAAAUAUAUAAUUAUCAUUCUUAUUUCUUUAUUUCAAAUUUCACUCUUCACAUAUACUAUGUUACUAAAUUUAAUUUUAUCAGUCAAUUUAUUUCAUUUGCCCCUAUUAACUCGACUCGGCCUCGGCGGAUACACGGAUUCCAACCAACACACCAGUAUACAGUAAUCAGUAACAGUAACAGUAUUCAACACACAAAGUGGUGAACCUGUAACAGUAACAGUAACAGUAUUCGACACACAAAGUGCCGAGUCGGUAACAGUAACAGUAACAGUAUUCGACACACAAAGUGCCGAAUCAGUAACAGUAACAGUAGUCGGCACAUAAGUGCCUGAUCAGUAAGCCGGCAAAUACCCCAUACACUUCCAUAUCCUAUGGCAUGCCAACUAUAUCCGACUAGCCCGACUAGUUAAUAGGGUAUUUAAUUCACUUUUCAGUAUAAAUUUCCAUCUUAAUUCAGUAUCAAUUAUAAUUCUUUAAUUCAAUCGGUUUCACAGUAUUACAGUAAUUCUUUACUUCAGUAAUUUCACAAUUCAAUGCAUUAUGCAUAACAAUAUUCAGUAUUUUCACAAUUCACUCAGUAAUCAAGACAAUAUUCAGUAUUCCAUAAUUCGGUUCAGUAUCAGUUUCAAUUUCAUUACUACAUUAUAAAUUUAUUAUUUAUUAAACAUUUACCUUAAAAUACUUACCACACAUAAUUAGCAAAUUAAACACUUAAUAAUAAUAAAGUUUGAAUUAUAGUGAUACAAACCGUAAUUCCCGUGUCUAUUCCUCGUCCACUUUUUCUUUUCCUUUCCUCGUGGAUGCCUCGGGUGCGAUAUUAGCUACGAAAAGAAAUUAAGAUAAUUUUCAUAAUCAUUAGCACAACACAAUUUACUUGCUGAAAUUUUUAUCUAACUUUUAUUUUAAUUUCAAUUUAAUCCUAACUAAAUCUAUAUAUUUUUCUUUCUCAAUUCAUACCUUCUUGCUACUCAAUUUCUUGCCAAACUUAUAUGUAACUAUCUAAUUUUUAUCAUAUUUUCAUAAUUUCGAAUUUAUUUCAAUUUAAUCCCUAAAAUAUAAAACUUAUAGUUUCUUUUACAAUUUAAUCCCUUUUUCAAUUCUAACUUAAAAUUCAUGCUAUUUAAUCCCUAAUUCAUCUCUUUUGUUCAACAUAAACUAUACUUGAAAACCUAUGAACUUACAAAACAUCAACUUAAUCCCAUCAAAACUUUGUUUUAAAGCUUUUAAAACAUUAGAAUUAAGAGAAAAUGGCUAAUUUGACUUACCAAAUUAAAUUUCAAGCUUCAAAAACCCUAUUUUCUUCUUUUUCUUCUUUCUCCCCUGUUUCUCCCCUGUUUCGUCUCUUCUAUUCUGUUUCUUUCCUUUCUUUUGCUUUGUUUUUAUUUCAUUUUAUUUAAUUUACUUUAUAUUAUAUUAAUUAAUUAUAAAUAUUACAAAUGUAUGUAUUUUAUUAGUACACUUGCAUUAAAUCAUUACCAUACACUUGUUUCAAUCUAACUAACUUAUCAAAUAAAAAUCUCAUAAUAUUAUUAUUUAAUUAACAAUUAUCUUUUACUAAAUUUUCAAGUAAAUAAAUAAAUAUAAUACACUUGUAUUUUAUUUUUACCACACACUUGGCAAAAUCAUAAUUUAUUAUUACCCAAAAAAUCUUAUACUAAUUAUUUAAUUACUAAAUAUCUUUUAAUUUAAUAAUAACUAAUAACUAAUAAUAAAUAAUAAAUAUCAUUAAUUAUAUAAUAAACAAAUAAAUUCUUAAAUUUUAUUCCUUUAUGCCGCCUCAAUCAUUUUAAAUGGCUUAAUUGCUAUUUUAGCCCUUUUUACUUUCUUUUAAUCUAUGAUUAGAUUUUCACUUCUAUUGUAAUUUAAUCCCUUUUGCUAAUUACUCUUAAUUGAGCCAAAUUCACCUAUUUAAAACCUAAUUAAACACACAACUAAUCUCGUAAGUAUUUCUAAUAAUUAUUUAUGACUCAGUUUACUAAGACGGAGGCCCGAUAAUACACACUUUUCUAGUGCCCACGGAUUUUGGGUCGUUACAGGUGUUUUCAAAUCAAGAUCAUUAAGGAAAAUUUAACAGAAGGAUCAAAAGUAGUUGAAACAUUGAUACGUAAAUUCUGCCACUUCUUCAUGCACACAAACCUCCACUUAAAUAAUAUAAAUAAUAUCAUCGUUCAUCUUAUAUUAAAGUAGUUGGCAUGUAUUGUACAUAUAUAUUUUUAAAAAAUGUUAUCCGUAUUGUUACCAAUGCAGGAGGAUGUGAGUUUGAGUGUGCUGAAACGCAUUAUCCUACUAUUAAUAGGUUAGGGGCGUAGUUCUAGACAUUAUAUAUCAGAAAGAACAGAUAUAAUUAGAACAUAUGAUAAGAUUGAUAAAAAAAUAUUUCACUUAUUUCAUUAAUUACCCAUAACAUAUUUAUAGUUAAAAUUGUUUAUAAAUCAUAAAAAAAGACUUACAAACUGUCGAGAAAGGAUGAUUUUCUCCUGGAAUAGCAAAAGGAAAAUGGAAUUUUAAUUUUUCGAGUGUAAUUAGAAAAUACUGAGGAUAUCUUUUUUGUUCUAUUGUCCAUUUUUUUUAUCAAUUAUAUUUUGUUACUUGUUUCAUUUAUUUAUGGAAUAUAUUUGGAAUUUAAUUAAAUUAUUGUCUAAUUACUUUAUUUGUAACUUUUAUUAAUAGAUACACUUUCAAGUAUGGGUUCAAUCAAAAGCCGACAAUUAUUCUGUCUUCUUCCUUUUUCUUACUUGAAACCUUUUUUUUUUUUUUUGCAUUAUUUAGCCAUCAAGUAAAAGAAAUCACAUUUUUUAGCUAAUCUUUUUUUAACUUUUUUUCGUUUUAGUUUAUCUUUAUGAAAAAAGAAGUCAGUAGAAGCGAAAAUUCGAGCUGUAAAAAGUAAAAAACACUUCCUCUUAUUUAUGGCUAAAUAAAAACACUUGAAUUCGAGUGUUAAAACGCAUUAUCCUCAUAUUUAUGUAUUAAGUAAGAACUAAGAAUUAUGAGUAAUUUUACUUCUAGACGUUAUAUAUAAAAAUAAAUAUAAUCCGAACCUAUAAUAAUAUUAUAUAAAAAAAUGUUGCACUGAUAAUAAAUUUUAACAUCCUCUCUCCCAACAACAAAAAAAAAAUUAAAUGGAAUAGUAAGUUGUGAUAAUUUAUAUUAAGUUGACUGCUCAGAUGUCACUUAGUACGUAGAAAAAUCCAAGUCUCGUGAAGAAAAUUAAGUCUUUAAGUAUGCAUAACUAAUUAAUUAAUUAAUUAAUAGAGGGUAUUUUUAUUUGUUUAGUGCAUCUAAUUUUGUCUAUAUAUACCCUUAUAAGUUAUAACUCACAUUCACAUUCACAUUCCACAAAAUUCCUCAAACAUUUUCUUACUUUCCAAUACAUCCCAGAACAAGUUUUUUAGAUCAAGAAAGUAGUGGGUUUUGCUGGGUUUCUUUCUUUCUUUUUAUUUUUAAAGAAAGAGAAAAUUAUGGGGAAUUGUAUGAUGAAGACAUUGGGAUCAAGGCCGCAUCUGGAAGAAGAAGAAGAAGAGAUUGGUGAAGCAGCUUCAACUGAUUAUAAGAAGGAAAAUGAAGGGGAGAAAAGCAGCAUAAAGGUGAAGAUAGUGCUUACAAAAGAGGAACUAGAUUUGUUAUUAGUGAAGCUGAAGAACAAGGGUAAUGGUGGGAAGAGCUUAGAGGAAAUUUUGGGCGAAAUAGAGAAAGCAAGAUCUGAGAAACUUGACUCUUCAUGGAAACCUUCGUUGGAGAGUAUCAUGGAAGACGACGAUAUCAUUAAUUCAUGAAACUUUCAAUCCCUUUUCUGUAAAUUACCCUCUCUCUCUCUCUUUUUUUUUUUUACAUUCAUAUACUAUUAUACUUGCGUAACUCGAUGGCAAAGUAUUUACCAGACUCUCCCCCACCCCCUUUUUCUUUUCUCUGGAUCUUUGGCAUUGAGCGAUGUAUAUCUGCGUUGCUUAGCCUUAUUAGGAGUUUUGUUUUUUUAUAAAAUUAAUGCAUCUUUUAUGUCAGCGUGGUUACCACUUCAAUCAUCUGAAAAAGAAAACAAGGUUUGCUUGAAGAUUGAGUGAUGUAAUUUUCUUGUUUUGGGACUCUAUAUAUAUGGAGUGUGAAAUUAAGAAUGUCGUUUUAAUUUUUCCUUGUAUGCAAAUCUAAUUGUUUUAUAACACUUAUCUUCAAUCCUGUUCUGUUUAUAGUGAUUAUAAACCUCUGUAAAACCCUUUUCUUUUUGGUUCCAAAAAAUUUAUGAACAUUGUUUAAAAAGGAUCAGAUCACUGUUUGUGAUCCCCUUAGAAAAAAUGGCGACUUCUUUCAAGUACUACUCAUCGUCGGAAACAAAAAAGAGAGGGAAGGAAUUAACAUAAUUAUAUUUACACAAUAUAAUCAUGAGCGGAAGAUGCAACAGAUGCUAUUGUCUAGAGCUGUGCUCCAUAAAAUGAAAGUGCAAGGAGUCGGUCUAAUCCAUCCAACUGCCGGUUCAUUUUUAUUUUAUUUUAUUUUGGAAUACAAGGAAAUUAGAAAAAAAAAUUGUAUUUAAAAAAAUUAUAAACAUAUUUAAAUAACAAUAAGGGAAAAUAUUUGGUGUAAAAUUUGUAAAUUCCACAGGGUGAGCGAUUUAACGAAUAUCUCAUAGGGAUAUUGUAAAAUAUUUAAAAAAAUAACACAUUACAAUUUUUUUAAAGUCACUUGUGGAAUAAAAAAAAACACUACCAGUAUACCAAAUACUUAACCAAACAAUAAUAACAUAAAUAUCAAUUUUAUAUUACUGAUUCAAUUAAAAGUUUAAAACAUCAAAUAUGAUCAAAACCUAUAAUGAAAUUGUUAAAAAAAAUUAAAAGAUCAACAAAAUUACUUAUAUCAAUUUAGACAUUGAAAGCGGAUUGAGUCUUAAUUCAGUUGGCAUCAAUAUUGUUGCCGAUGCAAGAGAACGUGGGUUCGAGUGUGUUGAAGUAUAUUAUUCUCUUAUUUAAGAGUUGGGAAGAGUUACGGGUAGUUCUAAGUAUUGUGUCAAUAGAACAAAAGUUAAUAAUCGUGAUACUACACUUAUAUAAAAGAAAAUAAAUAAUAAAAAAUUGUAAAUUCAAAAAUUUUCAGGGGAUUUGGGCCAAUUAAUUAUUGAAUUUAAGGUUGUUUUUUUUUAUAAAAAAAAUUGGGCCAAAUGAAAAAGCAUAAAAAAUUAGUUCUAUCAAAUUGGGCCAAUCCAAUCUUAAUUGAAAAUCCAUAUCGAAAAAAAGUCGAGUCUAAACACUAAAUUUGAUAUUAAAGUUGUUCGCGGCAUCCCCAAGUUAAUAGGAACUAAAUUUAAUUAGCAGAUGGAAUUAAUUUCAUGUACCAUCUUUAAUUUCUAACAUUUGGCGGUGUCUUAACCUUAUAAUUAUGGAUUCCUAAAUCAAUAAAAAGUAACGAUGAAUAGUUGCUAUUAAUUCCUAAAUCGAGAAGUUGAAUAGUUGAGAACGAAUAGAAAAUAUUCUUUUUGAAAGUGUCACGUAUCUAAUCGAGUGGGAACAUAAUAACUAUCUUUCAAAGGACAAUUAUCUAACCCAAAAAUACAGUCUUGCGGGAGGACAACUGUUAUGCCUCACUUAAACUAGACAUGUGACACUACCAAAAGGUGGUAAGAUACAUACGAUUAUUUUAAUAAUUGGGCAACCUAUGAUCAUUUUGUUCAACGGUGCGUUUGUUUUACUUCCACGAAGACGCUGUCGUUUAGUAUAAAGUAGAAAAUCAAUUUUAAUAUUUUCGCUCUCUUUUUCCUUCCUGAAACAUCGCCGCCUACUUUUCUACAAAACGAGAAAUCUCUGAAACCGGAGAAUCAUUCUUAAUUGAAAAAUCACCGUCAAACUUCUUUGAGAAAAUUGCCAUUGCACAAAAAAGGAAAAAGAAAAAUGGGCGUAGCGCAAGCGAUGAAGAGAAUCCCUCGCAUCAAGUUUCCCCAAAGACACCCCAAACCUUCUGGUAUUCUUCUUUAUAUCCCAUUGACCCCUUCUAUAUCUCAUCUAUUGUGUUUUCUUUGCUUUCGAUUUCUUAAUGUACUGUUAAAUCUCAUUCUGCCUUCUCUUUAAUAUGUUUUUUAUGGUUUUCUAUGUCUGCAUGUUUAACUGAAAGGGGGGUUGUUUUUUGCUGAAUCUGUAAACGCAAGUCAAAUUGUUGUAAAAACUGUUUGCGAUUGCAAUUAAUGGAUGUUGGUGAAAAAUGUGAAAUCAAAUCGAUAUUUGCAGAUUCUGGGUUGCAGGCUCAGGGUGCAAGCAAAACUGGCGAUGGUGAUCUAACUUUCUUCUCUAGUUCUAAGGCUCCUGCAACCGUGGGAGGUAAAGCUUCUCUUCAACCCAAAAGAACGCCUGUUUCCAAUGAGGAAAUUGAGGCUAUUUUGGUAUGUAACCCGUUCUCUUUCAUGAUGUUGUCAGGAUUUAAAUCUUUUUUUUUUUAUUUUUUUUUGCAUUGGACAUUUAUGUUGACCUAUGUUACCUGGAGUUGUUUCAUACUUGUAACAUCAUAUCGCUAACCUAGAUCUUAAAUCCGUGUUGAGCCCAUGUUGGACAUUAAGGAAAAUGAAAGUUUUGGGUAGAUGUUGACUGCAUUAUAUGUCUUAGGAUCACUAGCCUUGCUUAUAAGAGAUCAGUUGGACAGAGAAUUUGGUGCUUAAGUCAACUUCAUCCUAUGAAACCGUGGUGCAUUAAAAUGCAUCAAAUGCUUAUGAUCUAAGUUUUGUGAUCUCUACGGGAGAAGAAAUUUAUCUUGUAAUAUCAUAUUUGAGCAAUAAGAACGGUUGCCAGUUUAUGUUGACCUAUGUUACCUGGAGUUGUUUCAUAUCUUUGGAACAUCAUACCACGUACCUAGACCUUAACCUGUGCAGAAUACAUGUUUGACAUGAAUACUUCAGGGAAAAUGAAAAUUUUGGGUAGAUGUUGACUGCAUUAUACAUCUUGGGAUCGCUAACUUUACUAGCCAUAGUGCAUUAAAAUGCAGCAAAUGUGUAUGAACUAAGUGUUGUCAUUGGGAGAAGAAUUUUAUCUUGUACUGACAUAUUUGAGCAAUAAGAAGGGUUGCCAGUUGGGUUUAUUUAUGGAAAAACGUACUAUAACAGUCUGUGGUUCUCAAAAAGAAAAUCACUAACAAAUUUCGAUGAUUCUCAAAAGAAAUCACGGACAAAUUUCAGCCACUAACUUCUAGGAAAUAACUUCUUAAAUAACUGGUUAAAUAACUAAAGGGUGAAUAUUGGGAGGAAUAUGGGGUCAAUAGUGUUUGUGAUCUGUUAGGAACCUCACGGAUUGUGAAGAAAGUUAAAUCCUUUGGUUAUGUGCAUGAAUUAGUAUUGUAUGUUUCCCUCUUUAUUUUGAUAUGUACAUGCUUAUGAACUAUUGGUUUUUGAUGUGGCCCUCUUUGUUCUUUUAUUCUUUUGUGUGAAAGGGAUUCAGUCUUGCUCAGUGCUUAAAAUUAACUUAUUGAGCAUGUAUUGAAGGAAUGGUUUUUCUCCCAUGUCCUCUGUUUUAGCUUGCUAGACAUCUAUUAAUCCUUUUUUGACCCUCUUGGCAGUUGGGUGGAUGUUUCUGAUCAUCUGAUGGAGUUUCAACAGGGAAGAUGAUUUCAUGGACUUCUAAAUGUUGUCAUUCUUUUUUCUUAUCACAAUAUUGGAGCUUCGAUUUUCAAAUGACAUUGGUGUGCUGUAAAACUAACAGACAAGGGGACAAACACCAUUUUUAAUGAAUAAACACAGAAAAUCAAAUGAAUUAUGGCUUUCUUUUUUCUUCUCAUUCAUGUUUUGUAUAUUUUAAGUUCUUAAUUAAUUUUGGUUUGUGAUGUUUGAAGUUUCUCUGCCUCUGAUUGAUUCCUAACUAAGCUUAAAGAGUCAAAACUGCACAUAAUUCUUACCUUCCAUACAUGAGAGUUGAGGCAGAUAUCUCUUUGGAUCCUUGUCUAUCAUAGCUUAAAGAACAGCGGAUUUAGGAUUCUUCAUCGCAAGGUCCAAAAUUGUUGAGGCAAAUUGUUAAUUUUUCCAUCAGUGAUCCGC
Molecule: long non-coding RNA, 8149 nt
Filed under: Gossypium barbadense (sea-island cotton)
Lineage: Eukaryota; Viridiplantae; Streptophyta; Magnoliopsida; Malvales; Malvaceae
Description: long non-coding RNA (GBAR_LNC022051)
Source: RNAcentral